This 1279-nucleotide ribosomal RNA is filed under the name Salmonella enterica subsp. enterica serovar Typhimurium. RNAcentral's name for it is "bacterial LSU rRNA". It matches the Rfam family "Bacterial large subunit ribosomal RNA", at positions 962 to 2139 of the family's 2925-position model. Lineage: Bacteria; Pseudomonadati; Pseudomonadota; Gammaproteobacteria; Enterobacterales; Enterobacteriaceae. The record is from RNAcentral.
CCGGAGAAUGUUAUCACGGGAGACACACGGCGGGUGCUAACGUCCGUCGUGAAGAGGGAAACAACCCAGACCGCCAGCUAAGGUCCCAAAGUCAUGGUUAAGUGGGAAACGAUGUGGGAAGGCCCAGACAGCCAGGAUGUUGGCUUAGAAGCAGCCAUCAUUUAAAGAAAGCGUAAUAGCUCACUGGUCGAGUCGGCCUGCGCGGAAGAUGUAACGGGGCUAAACCAUGCACCGAAGCUGCGGCAGCGAACGUAUCACCCAAGACAACUUUACGGAGUUGACGAUUGACGGAGCGAAGCGACGUCAAAGCGUUCAUUAAAGUCGAGUUGGCUUAGGGAUACGUUCGUUGGGUAGGGGAGCGUUCUGUAAGCCUGUGAAGGUGUGUCGUGAGGCAUGCUGGAGGUAUCAGAAGUGCGAAUGCUGACAUAAGUAACGAUAAAGCGGGUGAAAAGCCCGCUCGCCGGAAGACCAAGGGUUCCUGUCCAACGUUAAUCGGGGCAGGGUGAGUCGACCCCUAAGGCGAGGCCGAAAGGCGUAGUCGAUGGGAAACGGGUUAAUAUUCCCGUACUUGGUGUUACUGCGAAGGGGGGACGGAGAAGGCUAUGUUGGCCGGGCGACGGUUGUCCCGGUUUAAGCGUGUAGGUGUGUGUUCCAGGUAAAUCCGGUUCACUUUAACACUGAGGCGUGAUGACGAGGCACUACGGUGCUGAAGCAACAAAUGCCCUGCUUCCAGGAAAAGCCUCUAAGCAUCAGGUAACAUCAAAUCGUACCCCAAACCGACACAGGUGGUCAGGUAGAGAAUACCAAGGCGCUUGAGAGAACUCGGGUGAAGGAACUAGGCAAAAUGGUGCCGUAACUUCGGGAGAAGGCACGCUGACACGUAGGUGAAGUGAUUUACUCACGGAGCUGAAGUCAGUCGAAGAUACCAGCUGGCUGCAACUGUUUAUUAAAAACACAGCACUGUGCAAACACGAAAGUGGACGUAUACGGUGUGACGCCUGCCCGGUGCCGGAAGGUUAAUUGAUGGGGUCAGCGCAAGCGAAGCUCCUGAUCGAAGCCCCGGUAAACGGCGGCCGUAACUAUAACGGUCCUAAGGUAGCGAAAUUCCUUGUCGGGUAAGUUCCGACCUGCACGAAUGGCGUAAUGAUGGCCAGGCUGUCUCCACCCGAGACUCAGUGAAAUUGAACUCGCUGUGAAGAUGCAGUGUACCCGCGGCAAGACGGAAAGACCCCGUGAACCUUUACUAUAGCUUGACACUGAACAUUGAGCCUUGAUGUGU